RNAcentral lists this ribosomal RNA (497 nucleotides) under uncultured bacterium. RNAcentral's name for it is "partial 16S ribosomal RNA". It matches the Rfam family "Bacterial small subunit ribosomal RNA", at positions 29 to 507 of the family's 1533-position model. The record is from RNAcentral.
ACGAACGCUGGCGGCGUGCCUAAUACAUGCAAGUCGAGCGGACGGAUGGGAGCUUGCUCCCAGACCGUCAGCGGCGGACGGGUGAGUAACACGUGGGCAACCUGCCUGUAAGACUGGGAUAACUCCGGGAAACCGGGGCUAAUACCGGAUAACUCUUUCCCUCACAUGAGGGAAAGCUGAAAGAUGGCAUCUCGCUAUCACUUACAGAUGGGCCCGCGGCGCAUUAGCUAGUUGGUGAGGUAACGGCUCACCAAGGCGACGAUACGUAGCCGACCUGAGAGGGUGAUCGGCCACACUGGGACUGAGACACAGCCCAGACUCCUACGGGAGGCAGCAGUAGGGAAUCUUCCGCAAUGGACGAAAGUCUGACGGAGCAACGCCGCGUGAGUGAUGAAGGUUUUCGGAUCGUAAAACUCUGUUGUCAGGGAAGAACAAGUACCGGAGUAACUGCCGGUACCUUGACGGUACCUGACCAGAAAGCCACGGCUAACUACGUG